CUCCUAAGAGGCUGAGAUGCCGUCAGCACCAACCAGGGUAGGGUUUACUCUGCAAACGCUCCACAAAGACUUUUCCUAAAGUAAGCUCUCUGAUUUUCAGACUUACCAGAGAACUGCUACUCACUCCAAGGAUGAUAAACGCAUGUCACUCGUUCCGUGAUACACUCCAACCUGCAGCAAAUAGUACGAAGGGAACCAGCUGCAAAGCUAAGGAUCAACUGAAACGCAGUCUGCUGCGCGAUCACGGUCAGGGUCCGCCUCCUCCUCCAUUCAUGAUACAUCAUUCGCACUGUGUGUUCAUUUCCACUGAAGCUUCUGGUUGGAGGAAUAUGUUAAACCUGUGGUCUGAGAGAAAAGGUAAUUCUAGAGAGAUUUAUAUGAUGAACUUUGCAUGUCACCAGAAUGCAAAAGAAGUAAGAAUCAACCCUAACAUGCACCAAAAAAAAAAAAAAAAAAGACAUGACACAGUGUGUCUUGUUUUGAUAACAUCAAGCAUAAUAUUUUAAAAGAUUAGAAAAAAAAUACAACCAGGAGUAUGUUAGAGGCAUUGAGUUAAGGCUGUCAUGUGUAUCAUAAGGAAAUUUCUUAGUAAAUGAGAAAUUCUUCACAUAGCUUGCCGUGUCCUUACCAGCCAACCAGAGAAUUAAACUGCUAUUCGUGCUUAGCAAAGUUCAACAGGGCAGUUACUGGGGUCAAAUUUUCCAGGACCUUUGAAGCUAAUUAGUAUGAAUUCAAAGGUUAUUCUCUGGAACUCUAAGGAAGUUGCUGACU
RNAcentral lists this long non-coding RNA (771 nucleotides) under Capra hircus (goat). RNAcentral describes it as "lncRNA (ENSCHIG00000006908.1)". Lineage: Eukaryota; Metazoa; Chordata; Mammalia; Artiodactyla; Bovidae. The record is from RNAcentral.